CCCUUAGAUGUUCUGGGCCGCACGCGCGCUACACUGUUCGACGCAGCGAGUCUUAACCUUGACCGAAAGGUUUGGGUAAUCUUCAGCAAAGUCGAACGUGAUGGGGAUCGAUCAUUGCAAUUAUUGAUCGUGAACGAGGAAUUCCUAGUAAGUGCAAGUCAUCAGCUUGCGCUAAUUACGUCCCUGCCCUUUGUACACACCGCCCGUCGCUACUACCGAUUGAAUGGUUUAGUGAGAUCUCUGGAUUGACGCUGGCUAGGGGGCGACCCUUGGCCAGGCUGUCGAGAAACUGCUCAAACUUGAUCAUUUAGAGGAAGUAAAAGUCGUAACA
RNAcentral lists this ribosomal RNA (331 nucleotides) under uncultured eukaryote. RNAcentral describes it as "partial 18S ribosomal RNA". It matches the Rfam family "Eukaryotic small subunit ribosomal RNA", at positions 1470 to 1796 of the family's 1831-position model. The record is from RNAcentral.